RNAcentral lists this long non-coding RNA (1875 nucleotides) under Bos taurus (domestic cattle). RNAcentral describes it as "LOC100271850-MEF2B readthrough transcript (LOC100271850-MEF2B)". The record is from RNAcentral. Lineage: Eukaryota; Metazoa; Chordata; Mammalia; Artiodactyla; Bovidae.
GGUUCCGGUCCUCGGAAUAGGGCCGUGGCUACUAUGGAAGAACCCGAGAUGCAGCUCAAGGGGAAGAAAGUUACUGACAAAUUCACUGAGAGCGUCUACGUCCUGGCCAAUGAGCCGUCUGUGGCCUUGUACCGGCUGCAGGAGCACGUGCGCCGCUCUCUGCCUGAGUUGGCCCAGCAUAAGGCUGACAUGCAGCGGUGGGAGGAGCAGAGCCAGGGAGCCAUUUACACCGUGGAGUAUGCCUGCAGUGCCGUGAAGAACCUUGUCGACAGCAGCGUCUACUUCCGCAGCGUGGAGGGUCUCCUCAAACAGGCCAUCAGCAUCCGGGACCACAUGAACGCCACGGCCCAGGGCCACAGCCCUGAGGAACCACUCCCACCCUCCUCAGCCUGAUCCCGGAAGAGACUUGGAGGUGCUUCGGCCCCUCUGACCAGACAAAGGGCACUCCACCCAGCCUGGGACAUGGGGAGGAAAAAAAUUCAGAUCUCACGCAUUCUGGACCAAAGGAAUCGGCAGGUAACAUUCACCAAGCGAAAGUUCGGGCUGAUGAAGAAGGCCUACGAGCUGAGCGUGCUCUGCGACUGCGAGAUCGCCCUCAUCAUCUUCAACAGCUCCAACCGCCUCUUCCAGUACGCCAGCACAGACAUGGACCGGGUGCUUCUGAAGUACACGGAGUACAGCGAGCCCCACGAGAGCCGCACCAACACCGACAUCCUCGAGACACUGAAGCGGAGGGGUGUGGGCCUUGAUGGACCCGAGCUGGAGCCAGACGAGGGGCUUGAGGGGCCAGGAGAGAAGCUGCGGAGGCUGGCAGGUGAUGGGGGUGACCCAGCCUUGCCCCGGCCCCGGCUCUAUCCCGCAGCCCCCACUAUGCCCAGCCCGGACAUGGUAUACGGGGCGCUGCCCCCACCGGCCUGUGAACCCACUGGACUUGGGGAGGCCCUGCCUGCCCAGAGCCGCCCAUCCCCCUUCCGGCCAGCAGCCCCCAAAGCUGGGCCCCCAGGCCUGGCGCACCCUCUCUUCUCGCCGAGCCACCUCGCCAGCAAGACACCACCGCCCCUGUACCUGGCAGCGGACGGGCGGAGGCCAGACCUGCCUGGCGGCCUGGCCGGGACCCGUGGGGGACUGAGCAGCUCGAGAGGACUCUACGGUGGCCUGCAGAGUCCCUGCUCCACCGCUGCCCCCGGACCCCCGCUCGGGAGCUUCCCCUUCCUCCCUGCCGGCCCCCCAGAGUAUGGCCUGGGGGAUCCUCCUCCACCCCCAGGCUUGCUGCAGCCCCCCACCCUAGCCCCCUGGCAGCCCUCCAGGGCUGAUGGGCCCCCGGCCACACCCACGCAGCCUAGUGGGGGCCGCAGCUUGGGCGAGGAUGGCCCCCCGGCCCGCGGCGCCUCCUCACCCACCCCUCCCGUCAGCAUCAAGUCCGAGCGCCUCUCCCCGGCCCCCGGAGGCCCCGGCGACUUUCCAAAGACCUUCCCCUACCCUUUGCUCCUGGCCCGGCCCCUAGCAGAGCCCCUUCGACCUGGACCCCCUCUGCGGCGGCUGCCCACUGCUGAUGGCUGGCCCCGGUAGUCGGCCAGGGAAUGGCAUCGGUUCUGACCCUCACGUCAGGCUAGGCGAGGGCACGUGGGGUCCCAACCUCCCUCCCUGCAUCCUUGGAGAAGACGCAGCAGUACCACUGUCUCUGCGAUGGGGGCGUGGAGUGGGGAGGCCGAGUUCGGAUUCACGGUUGGGGGUUCUUUUCCCCUUUCCUGUGUGCGUAUCCAUCAAUAAAACACACGUGGUUUCCGUGGAAAAAAAAAAAAAAAAAAAAAAAAAAAAAAAAAAAAAAAAAAAAAAAAAAAAAAAAAAAAAAAAAAAAAAAAAAAAAAAAAAAAA